AGAGUUUGAUCCUGGCUCAGGACGAACGCUGGCGGCGUGCUUAACACAUGCAAGUCGAGCGAGAGAACUUCCUUCGGGAAGGACUCUAGCGGCGGACGGGUGAGUAACACGUGGGUAACCUGCCUCAUAGAGGGGAAUAGCCUUUCGAAAGGAAGAUUAAUACCGCAUAAGAUUGUAGUUUCGCAUGAAACAGCAAUUAA
This 200-nucleotide ribosomal RNA is filed under the name uncultured bacterium. RNAcentral's name for it is "partial 16S ribosomal RNA". It matches the Rfam family "Bacterial small subunit ribosomal RNA", at positions 8 to 204 of the family's 1533-position model. The record is from RNAcentral.